Molecule: ribosomal RNA, 467 nt
Filed under: uncultured bacterium
Lineage: Bacteria
Description: partial 16S ribosomal RNA
Rfam family: Bacterial small subunit ribosomal RNA
Source: RNAcentral
ACGCACGCUGGCGGCGUGCUUCACCCCUGCAAGUCGAACGGAAAGGCCCUGCUUUUGUGGGGUGCUCGAGUGGCGAACGGGUGAGUAACACGUGAGUAACCUGCCCUUGACUUUGGGAUAACUUCAGGAAACUGGGGCUAAUACCGGAUAGGAGCUCCUGCUGCAUGGUGGGGGUUGGAAAGUUUCGGCGGUUGGGGAUGGACUCGCGGCUUAUCAGCUUGUUGGUGGGGUAGUGGCUUACCAAGGCUUUGACGGGUAGCCGGCCUGAGAGGGUGACCGGCUACAUUGGGACUGAGAUACGGCCCAGACUCCUACGGGAGGCAGCAGUGGGGAAUAUUGCACAAUGGGCGGAAGCCUGAUGCAGCAACGCCGCGUGCGGGAUGACGGCCUUCGGGUUGUAAACCGCUUUCGCCUGUGACGAAGCGUGAGUGACGGUAAUGGGUAAAGAAGCACCGGCUAACUACGUG